Long non-coding RNA from Amphiprion ocellaris (clown anemonefish), 1615 nucleotides. Lineage: Eukaryota; Metazoa; Chordata; Actinopteri; Pomacentridae. The record is from Ensembl.
GGGAAAACACUGUGGCUAAGAGAAAGAUGCAGCUUUCAUGUUUCCUCAAAAUAAUGACAGGUAGAAUUGCUAUGGUGGAACAUUUGUGUGAAGGGAGGCAAGAACUAUGAUUAAAAUGGCUAAUUCACUGAAAACACAACUAGGAAGACUGCAUUCUUCCAAAUCCUCAGAAAAAGUUGAAAUUCUGAGUGUGGUAGGAGACAGGAGCAGCCAGCAGCAGCCUUAUACCUGCAUCCUGUAUUCAAUGAGUUCCAUACAGAACAUUCACUCUUGUUACAAUCCAUUAAUGAUUGGAUUGGAUGUUUUGUUGUAAAAGGAUGCAGUGGUGCUUAGUGGCAGCUUAGGAAAAUCCAACAUCUGCUGCAAAUGUCUGCCAUCCCUCAUGUUGGUUGCCUUGUCCUAGGAAAAUAAUGUUGAAGUCAUUUUUGUUAAUUAGUUAGAUAUUUUAAAUCAUCAUGGGCCAUAGAAAAAAAGUGAUCAACUUUUGGUGUGAGUUGCACCACUAUGUGGCCGUAUACUGCACACAAUGAAGCAGUGGUAUUUGCACUUCUGCUAUAUAACCCCUGCAAGCUAAAAAGUCUGGUGGUAAUGACUUUCAGUACCAGCUCAAAUCUGUCCUAAAUUUCAAACACAGUUAAGCUUCUUUCAAUUAUUGCAUAAUAUUCUUUUAUGCCUGGCUGUUUUGGAGGUUUAUGGUUUGAACAUAAUCAAGCUGCCACAACAGUUGAAUAGGAUCAACAUAUAAAUGGAUGUGAAGUUGUGAAUUCAUCUUUGCCUUGAUGUUUUGUUAUAUUCAAUAAUCAGAUGCCACCAAAAUUGUCCACUAUGAUAUGUUUUUGAUUAAACGAGCAUAACUGGAUUGAAUUUUGAAAUGAAUUCAAUUCAAUUUUAUUUAGUUUAAUGCAGUUUAUUUAUUUUUAUCCCCUGAAUGUGGGGGUGUGAAGCAUUCCCAGCAAUACACAGAGCUGGGUCAGUUUGUCUUUACCACUGAGGUAACAGAGGAGUGGAGUUACCAGUAUGGAUUUACAGCGUGGAAAAGUAAGAGAACUGUGGCUUCACCUAAACUACAGCAAUGAACACAUUCUUUUCAAUGUGGCAGUAAAUGGCCUCACCAUGACAUUGUAACUCUCUUCAUGGACCUUUAGACGCCUCCAUGAUGCUUUUUGUGAUGCUACAUCCCCACUGUCCAAUCAAACUUUGUCUCUAAGUGAAAAAAACUACUUCAAUAAACAAUUGUACAGCAGCAGUGGUGAUUGGCAGAACAAUAAUGUCAUUGUGCAUUUUUUAAUUUAUGUUGAAUGCUAUGCCAUACCAUACCUGAUACACUGUGCGUGUCUGUAUGUGUGUGUUUUCUCAUCACCUGGUUGAUCACAUCUCUCUGAUUGAAAGCUGGGGUGAAGGAUGUGUACAGUGUAUUGAAAUACAGGUAUUGACUUUUGUUGCAAAAUUAAUGUAAUAAAUUGUACAAAAAUAUAUAUAUAUUGUGAGGCACGUUUUCUAUUUCUUUCACUGAUGUCCUCUUCAGUUUGCAUGAUACAACAGGAAGUUGAUUGGGUUUGAACAGUUUGUGCAUAAAAUGUUUCUGCAGACAUGCAUAUGAACAAGAUGCACUGGG